Molecule: signal recognition particle RNA, 98 nt
Filed under: Deltaproteobacteria bacterium
Lineage: Bacteria; Pseudomonadati; Myxococcota; Myxococcia
Description: signal recognition particle sRNA small type
Rfam family: Bacterial small signal recognition particle RNA
About the family: The signal recognition particle (SRP) is a universally conserved ribonucleoprotein involved in the co-translational targeting of proteins to membranes. Archaeal SRP consists of a 7S RNA and homologues of the eukaryotic SRP19 and SRP54 proteins.
Source: RNAcentral
GGCCGGGUCCCGUACAACGCAGACUUGUAAACCCCGUCAGGUCCGGAAGGAAGCAGCGGCAGCAAUGUCCUACGUGUGUUGCGGUAAACCUGGCCACC